UACGUAGGCAGCGAGCGUUGUUCGGAGUUACUGGGCGUAAAGGGUGUGUAGGCGGUUGUUUAAGUUUGGUGUGAAAUCUCCCGGCUCAACUGGGAGGGUGCGCCGAAUACUGAAUGACUCGAGUGUGGGAGAGGUGAGUGGAAUUCCUGGUGUAGCGGUGAAAUGCGUAGAUAUCGUGAGGAACACCAGAGGCGAAGGCGGCUUCCUGGACAAUUGCUGACGCUCAGGCACGAAAGCGUGGGGAGCAAAAGGG
RNAcentral lists this ribosomal RNA (253 nucleotides) under uncultured bacterium. Its description in RNAcentral is "partial 16S ribosomal RNA". It matches the Rfam family "Bacterial small subunit ribosomal RNA", at positions 524 to 776 of the family's 1533-position model. The record is from RNAcentral.